AGCCUGACGGAGCGCUGCCGCGUGAGUGAAGAAGGUCUUCGGAUUGUAAAGCUCUGUCUUUGGGGACGAAAAUGACUGGGAGGGAAUGCGAAGCCACUGACGGUUCCUAGUCAGCAAGCCCCGGCUUACUACGUGCCAGCAGCCGCGGUAAUUA
RNAcentral lists this ribosomal RNA (154 nucleotides) under uncultured Bacillota bacterium. Its description in RNAcentral is "uncultured Firmicutes bacterium partial 16S ribosomal RNA". It matches the Rfam family "Bacterial small subunit ribosomal RNA", at positions 380 to 525 of the family's 1533-position model. The record is from RNAcentral. Lineage: Bacteria; Bacillati; Bacillota.